UACCAGCACCCCGAGUGGUCGGGACGUUUAUUGGGCCUAAAGCAUCCGUAGCCGGUUCUACAAGUCUUCCGUUAAAUCCACCUGCUUAACAGAUGGGCUGCGGAAGAUACUAUAGAGCUAGGAGGCGGGAGAGGCAAGCGGUACUCGAUGGGUAGGGGUAAAAUCCGUUGAUCCAUUGAAGACCACCAGUGGCGAAGGCGGCUUGCCAUAACGCGCUCGACGGUGAGGGAUGAAAGCUGGGGGAGCAAACCGG
RNAcentral lists this ribosomal RNA (253 nucleotides) under uncultured bacterium. RNAcentral's name for it is "partial 16S ribosomal RNA". It matches the Rfam family "Archaeal small subunit ribosomal RNA", at positions 474 to 727 of the family's 1478-position model. The record is from RNAcentral.